RNAcentral lists this non-coding RNA (86 nucleotides) under Stenotrophomonas sp. CC22-02. Lineage: Bacteria; Pseudomonadati; Pseudomonadota; Gammaproteobacteria; Lysobacterales; Lysobacteraceae. The record is from RNAcentral.
AAAAGGGGACGGAGGGGAUUAAGUCGUAAUCGGCACCUGAGCACACACUCGUGCAGGAAGCGACUUAAUCCCCUCCGUCCCCUUUU